CUUCGAAAAAAAAAAAUACAGAAGUAUAAAUUAUUUUUUUGAUGUAACGUGUAUAUAGAUCGAGCAGAGUUACUAUACUCUUAUGAGAAUAGAAUUCUUCGUACUUGUAAAUUAUUUUCAAUGAUGAAGCCUCCUAAUCGACGAUUCACAUCGUUAAAUAUGAUCUCAAACAUUUGAAACUUUUUAAAAAUAAUUUCGUAAUUUUUCGAAGUCAUAAUAAAGUCCGUUAUAUAAGGAGGCAUAAAAUGAACGGUCAAAAUUGAAUGACGUCCUAAAAAUGGAUGAUUGUAUCCUUAAAUUUAAGGUCGGAGUUAUUGAUCUUUAUUUAUAUAGUAAAUAAAAUUUUUUUAUCAAAAUUAAGUCAAUUCUAAUUCUUUUAUAGCGUUAAACUAGUAAGUAUCUUUUGUGUGUGUGUAUAGAUAUAUAAGUAUGUAUGAGUACGACUGCUAUACUAUCGGUAAUACGGAUGUCUUCGUGCUACCAAGUUAUUUUCAAUGAUGCAACUUUUAGAUUGACGUUCGGCUCCGUUAGACUUGAUCUACACUAUUGAAAGUAUUUGAAAAUUAAAUUUUAUACUUUUUUCGACAACAAUUACUUAUCAAAUGAGUAGUCUAAAAAUAAAUGGCUAAAACUAAAAAUUUCAUAAGAAAUAAUAAUAAAAGACUUGAAUUUAAGAUCAGAUGUACCGAUCUUUCUCUAAAUAUUGAAAUGAAUUUUCUAUAUACAUUUUAUCAGAUUUGGAUUGUUUUGUGCCGUUAAAUUCACGAACGCAUCACAUUGACCAUCAAAAUUAUCAAUUUUGAGAUUUUUUGAUCACUAGCCAAAUAAUAUCGAAAAACUAUGAAAUUUAAUUUUUAUAUAUUUUCAAUAAUGUAAAUCAAGUUUAACGGAGCUGAUUUUUGAUUUGGAAGCCGCAUUAAUGAAAAAACUUGGUAGCACGAAAGUCUCCGUAUUACUGAUAAUAUAGAAGCUUAGCGCGCGCUCUCUCUCUCUCUCUCUUCU
This 1002-nucleotide long non-coding RNA is filed under the name Ananas comosus (pineapple). RNAcentral describes it as "long non-coding RNA (ACOM_LNC014099)". The record is from RNAcentral. Lineage: Eukaryota; Viridiplantae; Streptophyta; Magnoliopsida; Poales; Bromeliaceae.